Molecule: long non-coding RNA, 405 nt
Filed under: Ananas comosus (pineapple)
Lineage: Eukaryota; Viridiplantae; Streptophyta; Magnoliopsida; Poales; Bromeliaceae
Description: long non-coding RNA (ACOM_LNC031501)
Source: RNAcentral
AAAUAUGAAACUUUAAAUCUAGCCUCAUAAAAAUAUUUCUGACUUAUCCUCCAAUUUUCAUAAUUUUCUGAGACUAUGCAUUUUCUGCUAAUUUGUCUAUCCCGUUUUCAACAAAAAAUUCUAGAUCUUCUGUUUUCAUUCCGAUUUCAGCACAAGUCACUUCUGACUUAUGUUUUACUCCUACAAAUUCAAUAAAAAUAGUUUUUCACACUAUUUUUUUUAUUUUUAUUUUUAUACUAAAAUCUGAUAUGUUACAACCAAAAUCCUCAAAGACCAGUAAUCAAGCUAUCUCAAAGCUCUAUACAUUAAAUUCCAUCAAUUAUACCAAUUUCAGCACUAAAGCUUAAUUUAAUCCCUAUCAUAAUGUCAAAACUCACCUAAUUACCUCCAAAUCAGGUGAGGAAG